UGGAACUUCUGAGAAUAUAUCCUAAUAAACCUCACAGUUUCUAUUUAAUCCCCUUGGAAUGCUCUUUCUCAGGAUGUUCCUUCUUGGAAUCUUCCCUCCCAAAACUUAGCUGCCACGCUGUAGAGACCCAAGCCACAUGAAGAAACCAUGUAGCCUCGAAUAUUAAAUGUGAGAAUUGAGGAUUAUUUUUUACACUUUAUAUUGGAGAAAAUGAGUCAAAAUCUGAAAAUCAAGCAGAUGCCGUGCUGAAUCUAGAGAAAGGAAGACAGAGACUGGAGUGCAAGCUUACGCUACUCUACUGUAUGUCUGCAGUGAGAGAGGAAACUAAAAUGUCCAGUUCAGCUCACGAAGGUAGAGGACAGGAUAUUCACUGCAGGCAGAAACGUUCAAAGGAAAAAAAGGACCUCGAUUAUCCUUUAAUAUUUAGUACCAUUAAUAAUGCCAACAAAUAUUAUGAACACCAUUUGAGAUUUUGAGCACUGUGUUGGAAAAUCUCAAUAAACUGUCAGAUCUAAUCCUUAAAACAACUCUCCCACUUAGGUUUAGGAAGAACUAAUUCCACACCUACUGCCAUUCAGCAUACUAAAGAUGGCAAAAGAAUUCUGCCUCAGAUUUAUGUGACUACACGUGCUCUUUCCUCCAUACAACUUUCCUUGGGUAUUUGCUACAUCUCAGUAACUACCCAAGAAUUUAGUAACUAGACAUCAACUCAGUGCAUAGCAGGCUGUCGCUAACACAACUGCCGUCUUUGUAUAGUGAAUGAACCUGCACCUGGCAGUUCGCCUGUGUGGGAGAGCGGGGCUGGAAUCCGCAGACAGUGCCCUGGCAGAAUAGAUCUGAUGACUGAGAUCUAUCAGAGAAAGGUUUCACAGCAUCUCACGUGGCUCUCUCUGGAUGGUGAGCAUUGAAUGAAUAUGUAAUGUAAGCAAGGAAUCAUUAAAGGGAGAAAUGAAGCAAUAACUAAACAAACAGGAAUUAUAAGCCCGAAUGGGUGAACAGAUAUUGUAACUUUGUUAAACAAUCAAAAACAACAGCAUUCGACUUUUCAGGAUUGCCUUUGCUGGGAAUAGUAAACAGAUUUGAUUAUUCUGAAACAACAUUAUAAGGAAAAGCUCUAUGAAUGCUAUCAAUCAGCAGGUGGUAUAUAAAAGAAAUCCAGAAAUAAAUCAAGCUAUUCCUUAGAUUUUUCUAGCAACCUCUGCAGCUGUUUAAAGCAGAAUAAAUGUGGCCACCUGUGACUGCAUAGACAAAGACAAUUUCAAUAACUACACAUCAACAAAAACAACCAAAAUUUUCAACACGCUCCUACAAGGUCCCCAAGUGUAUGAGAUUUAUUUUACUGCCAGAACUGCUUAUUGAAAAAGGAACCUGUAUUUAGUGAUGAAGAGAUCAUGAAGGAGCCACCUGGGACUCACCACUCAAAAUACACAAGUGAACUGAUUAAUGCAGAAAAGAAGUUUCAAAAUGUUAGGGACCAUACGAAGCUCUGACAUGGUGUUGCCAAGUGGCUUAUAGAUGAAAUGCUGUGUUGCAGACAAGCAUUUCCAGACACUGGCACCCUCAUGACACCUCCUUCACAGAAACUCUCAAUAGUGCCGACCAAAUCCCCCUGGAGGAUUUCUCAUUUCUAUAAAAAACGUACUGAACAAGGGAGGAGCAAAUCAUG
Molecule: long non-coding RNA, 1666 nt
Organism: Equus caballus (horse)
Lineage: Eukaryota; Metazoa; Chordata; Mammalia; Perissodactyla; Equidae
Source: Ensembl